GGGAGGGAGGGAGUUUACAAGGGUUUUCUAUGGUGGGGAGGUAGCCAAAAGAGAGGGGAAACUGGAAUACUCGCGGGGAGGUAGAAAGUUUGUGAGUGUGCGAGUGAGCUAGCGAGUGAGUUUUGUUCGUCGAUUAGACGAAGAUGAAACGCGAAGAGGAAGAGAGGACGACGAGGAGAAGGAGGGUGAAGAGGUAAAGGAGGAGAAGGAGGAGGAGGAGAAGUUGGAAGCGUACGACUCUGCUUGUGCGCGCGCGCACCUCUCUCUCUCUUUCUUUCUCUCUCUCUCUCUCUCUCUUUCUCAGUAUGUGUAUAGGGAGGGAGGAGGGUAUGUGUUUGUAUUUGUGUGUUUGUCGUACGAACGACGAGUAAACUUCCAACGAGUAAAAGAGAAAGACAGGUAUAUAAAUACAUAUAUGUAUUACAUAUCUUUCUGUAUAAUGUGUAUAAGUAUUAGUAGAGUAAGGCUUCCGUACAGUGUAAUACACGUUACCAACACACAUGUACGAUUUAGUUUCGUAUGCGUUUUACCACGGGGGGUUUCGAGAGUAAAGUAAAAGAGAGAGAACAAGAGAGUAAAAAAUAAUAAGAGUAAAAGAGAAAGAAAAAAAUGAUGUGUUAGUUGACAACGAUGAUGACGAAAACGACGACGAUGACGACCCAUGACGAUGAGGAGGACAACAAGUUUUAUGGUAAAAUACUAGGAUGACUAUGACUAUGACUAUGACUAUGACGAGGAGUACGACGACGACGAUGAGGACGAGAACGGGCACGACCACUGGCACGAUACCGCGUGGGGGUUGCACAGAGACCCCCUGGUGGGGCUCGGACUCCCGACCCCACAGUCCCCCGCUGGAAAUGAUAUCAGUCGCGACUCGGUCGAGGGAGCCCCAACAGCACGAAACUACGCUCGGUGCCCCUCUGACGCGAACCAAAAAUUGUUUGGUGACCCCAACGUGUCACGCUUGUUCAAAAAAA
Molecule: long non-coding RNA, 977 nt
Organism: Polistes dominula (European paper wasp)
Lineage: Eukaryota; Metazoa; Arthropoda; Insecta; Hymenoptera; Vespidae
Source: RefSeq, a predicted model, not a curated record